GAAAGCAGCGGAGAUGAAAAAGUCAAGAUAGACCGGGCACAGUGGCUCCUGUGUGUAAUUCCAGAGCUCUGGGAGGUCAAGGCAGGCAGAGAUCACUUGAGCCCAGGAGUUCAAGACCAGCCUGGGCAACAUGGCGAAAUCCCACCUCUAUAAAAAAUACAAAAAUUAACUACUCGGGAGGCUAAGGUGAGAGGAUCACUUGAACCUGGGAGGCAGAGGUUGCAAUGAGCCACGAUUGUGCCACUACACUCCAGCCUGGGUGAUACAGUGAGACUUUGUCUGAAAAAAAAAAAAGAGAGUCAAGACAUUCUGUGAGGAAACUCAAAGCACUCAAAGCAGCCAACAGCAUUUGUUGCUGAACCAGCCGUGAAAAGACGGAAAAGCUUACUCAACUCUACCUUGUAUGGCAGUUUGAGAAUCCCAGAGGCAAGUUCCCAGAAAUGUACAGAAAAAGCCAAGAGCAAUGCUUCCUAUGCAUUCUUGUUCAAUGGUGUCUUAGAGGGAUGAAUAACUAUAAAAUGGUGAUUCCAACACUUUGAAGGACCAUCUUAAAGGCAAACUACCUAAUAAAAU
RNAcentral lists this long non-coding RNA (573 nucleotides) under Homo sapiens (human). RNAcentral describes it as "non-protein coding lnc-ERCC6L2-4:2". The record is from RNAcentral. Lineage: Eukaryota; Metazoa; Chordata; Mammalia; Primates; Hominidae.